UAGGGAUCAUUUCUGGUAAAAAAGGGUAAAACCUUUUUACAAUCUAAACUCUGUGCAAUGGAGCACACGGCUUGUGCAUCGAUGAAGCCCGCGGCAAAAAGCGAUAUGUAAUGAGAUUCGUUAGCCUCGAGAUUCAUCAAAUUGGUGAACACAUACUGGACCUCUUUGAGGUACUUGCGUUAGAGUGCUAGUUUUUUAUCAAUUGAUCUCGGUAAAAGGUGUAUAUAUCGUUAGAUAUUAACGCCCUAGCUGAAGUAGCCGGAUUCUCUUUGAGAAACCGGAUUGUAUUUGACCUUUAGGGGUUGAAUUCAAUCAUUUUUAACUAGCUGGCCUCUAAGUG
Molecule: ribosomal RNA, 340 nt
Filed under: Naegleria sp. MN-2012
Lineage: Eukaryota; Heterolobosea; Eutetramitea; Acrasida; Naegleriidae
Description: eukaryotic LSU rRNA
Rfam family: 5.8S ribosomal RNA (bases 47-190)
Source: RNAcentral